UUAUUUCAUGGAGAGUUUGAUCCUGGCUCAGGACGAACGCUGGCGGCGUGCCUAAUACAUGCAAGUCGA
This 69-nucleotide ribosomal RNA is filed under the name Bacillus licheniformis. RNAcentral's name for it is "partial 16S ribosomal RNA". It matches the Rfam family "Bacterial small subunit ribosomal RNA", at positions 1 to 65 of the family's 1533-position model. Lineage: Bacteria; Bacillati; Bacillota; Bacilli; Caryophanales; Bacillaceae. The record is from RNAcentral.